RNAcentral lists this ribosomal RNA (399 nucleotides) under uncultured bacterium. RNAcentral describes it as "bacterial SSU rRNA". It matches the Rfam family "Bacterial small subunit ribosomal RNA", at positions 975 to 1375 of the family's 1533-position model. The record is from RNAcentral.
CAAGGCUUGACAUAUAGAGGAAAAGUGCAGAAAUGCACUCCCCGCAAGGUCUCUAUACAGGUGGUGCAUGGUUGUCGUCAGCUCGUGUCGUGAGAUGUUGGGUUAAGUCCCGCAACGAGCGCAACCCUCGUCCUAUGUUGCCAGCACGUUAUGGUGGGAACUCAUGGGAUACUGCCGGGGUCAACUCGGAGGAAGGUGGGGAUGGCGUCAAAUCAUCAUGCCCCUUAUGUCUUGGGCUUCACGCAUGCUACAAUGGCCGGUACAGAGGGCUGCAAUACCGCAAGGUGGAGCGAAUCCCAAAAAGCCGGUCUCAGUUCGGAUUGAGGUCUGCAACUCGACCUCAUGAAGUCGGAGUCGCUAGUAAUCGUAGAUCAGCAACGCUACGGUGAAUACGUUCCC